GACGAACGCUGGCGGCGUGCUUAACACAUGCAAGUCGAACGGAAAGGCCCUGCUUUUGUGGGGUGCUCGAGUGGCGAACGGGUGAGUAACACGUGAGUAACCUGCCCUUGACUUUGGGAUAACUUCAGGUAACUGGGGCUAAUACCGGAUAGGAGCUCCUGCUGCAUGGUGGGGGUUGGAAAGUUUCGGCGGUUGGGGCUGGACUCGCGGGUUAUCAGCUUGUUGGUGGGGUAGUGGCAUACCAAGGUUUUGACGGGUAGGCCGCCUGGGAGGGGGGCCGGGCACCUUGGGACUGAGAUACGGACCAGAAUCCUACGGGAGGCAGCAGUGGGGAAUAUUGCACAAUGGGCGGAAGCCUGAUGCAGCAACGCCGCGUGCGGGAUGACGGCCUUCGGGUUGUAAACCGCUUUCGCCUGUGACGAAGCGUGAGUGACGGUAAUGGGUAAAGAAGCACCGGCUAACUACGUG
Molecule: ribosomal RNA, 468 nt
Filed under: uncultured bacterium
Lineage: Bacteria
Description: partial 16S ribosomal RNA
Rfam family: Bacterial small subunit ribosomal RNA
Source: RNAcentral